Molecule: unclassified non-coding RNA, 361 nt
Filed under: fungal sp.
Lineage: Eukaryota; Fungi
Description: partial internal transcribed spacer region
Rfam family: Eukaryotic small subunit ribosomal RNA (bases 1-46)
Source: RNAcentral
AAGUCGUAACAAGGUAACCGUAGGUGAACCUGCGGUUGGAUCAUUAUUGAAAUCCAAAAUUAUUCGAGGGGUUUGUUUUUAGAAUUUAUUCUUUUAGCAAGCCACUCAAUACCCCAAACCUUUUAUAACUUGUGAGCUCAUUGGAAACCUAGUUUUCUUUGGGUAAGCAUGUUUAAAAACUUGCUCAUCAGUUUGUCAUUUAAUUUGUUGGAUACUAAUUCUGCAAAGAAAAUAGAUCCGACAGUUUCUUGACUCUCUGCUAAGCAAGCCUAGAUUUAUAAACUUUUGUUUUAUUUUAUUUUCUUUUUGAGAAAUCAAUUUAAAGAGAAAACAACUUUUGACAAUGGAUCUCUAGGUUCUC